UACGGGGGGGGCAAGCGUUGUUCGGAAUUACUGGGCGUAAAGGGCUCGUAGGCGGCCAACUAAGUCAGACGUGAAAUCCCUCGGCUUAACCGGGGAACUGCAUCUGAUACUGGAUGGCUUGAGUUCGGGAGAGGGAUGCGGAAUUCCAGGUGUAGCGGUGAAAUGCGUAGAUAUCCGGAGGAACACCGGUGGCGAAGGCGGCUUCCUGGACCGACACUGACGCUGAGGAGCGAAAGCGUGGGGAGCAAACAGG
Molecule: ribosomal RNA, 253 nt
Filed under: uncultured bacterium
Lineage: Bacteria
Description: partial 16S ribosomal RNA
Rfam family: Bacterial small subunit ribosomal RNA
Source: RNAcentral